RNAcentral lists this long non-coding RNA (1546 nucleotides) under Oryctolagus cuniculus (rabbit). RNAcentral describes it as "lncRNA (ENSOCUG00000031518.1)". Lineage: Eukaryota; Metazoa; Chordata; Mammalia; Lagomorpha; Leporidae. The record is from RNAcentral.
AUGGGACUGGAACAGCACAGGAAAUCACGCCCCAGGGCACUGCGCUGGCCUGCUGCUUUCACCACGAGCGUUCGCAGAAGCUGGGAGCCGGGCUUUGUGUCCUGCUGCCCCAGGGAGACUGAGCUCUGCAAGUGUCCAGCCUGGACAGCUGUAGGGAACCAGACCGCUCAGCUGUCCGUUGUUCUGUUUAUUCUGGCUGUGCUGGAUUCCAUGGAGCACUGUGCUCCCCUGGGACAGGAAGUCCUGGUGCACUGUGCUCCUCUGGGACAGGAAGUCCUGGUGCACUGUGCUCCUCUGGGACAGGAAGUCCUGGUGCACUGUGCUCCCCUGGGACAGGAAGUUCUUGGUGUACUGUGCUCACCUGGAGACAAGGAAGUCCCUGGUACACUGUGCUCCCCUGGGACAGGAAGUCAUGGUGCACUGUGCUUACCUGGGACAGGAAGUCCUGGUGCACUGUGCUCCCCGGGACAGGAAGUCUUGGUGCAUGUACCUCACCUGGGACAGGAACACACCCCAACACGUCCUACUCUGCACAAGCCCAUGUGACCACCUGUGGGGGAAGCCACACAGGAGGUGUCCCUUCUUGUUGAGAUGGGGGUGGUGACAGCAGUGGGCACUGAGACCAGCAUUCCCGGGGAGCUGGCUGUGAGCCAGGCCUUUUCCAUCUCGCGUUACAUCCGCCACACACUGCAGCUCUGUCGCUCCCCAUCUUCGUGGAGGAACGACACAGGACCCUGCGCUGUUCUUUUGUCUGCUCGGCCCUCCCCGGGUUUGCUGCUGGUUCUUCCCGGGUUGGCUGCCGUCUCUUCCACCUCCGUGGAAGGGCGGUUCCCCCUGGCCACUUUCCCCACUUCCACGGGGGAGCGGCACACCACCGGCCGGCUCUCUCGGGGGCUGCACAGGUGUUCCCCUUAGAUGUUCCUGGUGCAUGUUGUCUCUCUCCUCCUUUAUAGUCCUCUUCCACCAAUCCCAACUCUGCUACCCACACGCCAAGUACGCUGCUCUCCUCCAAUCAGGAGCAGGUCCUACAGUUUAUUGGUGGAACUGGAGGCAGCUGUGUAGAAGCUGUUUCUCCCUUCUCAGCGCCAUAUUGUGGGAGAGCAGAUGCAUAGAAUAAGUCUUAAUUCCAGUAACUUAGUCUAGUCCGAGUUGCUCCCCACAGAUCCCCCUUUCUUUUUAUUUUUUGGCGUUGAUACGCGCCUGUCUUCGGUGCCCCGCGGCACACACUCUGCUCUGCUUGCUAGAGUUGCCCACAGGUGCUUACAAGCCCUACCAAUCAGGCAAACCGAAUCUGGGUCCUCUCUUCGCCAUGUUGUAAGGAGGUUUUUAGGCGCUGAUGCGUGCCUGUGUUCGGUGCCCUGCAGCGCAUGCUCUGCUCUGCUAGAACUGCCUGCAGGUGCUUACAAGCCCUAACAAUCAGGCAAACCGAAUCCAAGCCUUCUCAUCGCCGUAUUGUGGGGAGACUUAUUAAUGUUAAUUCGUGCCUGUCUUCGGUGACCUGCGGCGCAUAAGCUGCUAGCCGCCUGCAGGUGCUUAUCGUCCUAAU